UGUCUCAGUUCGGAUUGGAGUCUGCAACCCGACUCCAUGAAGCUGGAUUCGCUAGUAAUCGCGCAUCAGCCACGGCGCGGUGAAUACGUUCCCGGGCCUUGUACACACCGCCCGUCAAGCCAUGGAAGCCGGGGGGUGCCUGAAGUGCGCUGCCGCGAGGAGCGCCCUAGGGUAAAACCGGUGACUGGGGCUAAGUCGUAACAAGGUACC
RNAcentral lists this ribosomal RNA (210 nucleotides) under uncultured bacterium. RNAcentral's name for it is "partial 16S ribosomal RNA". It matches the Rfam family "Bacterial small subunit ribosomal RNA", at positions 1284 to 1500 of the family's 1533-position model. The record is from RNAcentral.